This 736-nucleotide long non-coding RNA is filed under the name Malus domestica (apple). RNAcentral's name for it is "long non-coding RNA (MDOM_LNC009380)". The record is from RNAcentral. Lineage: Eukaryota; Viridiplantae; Streptophyta; Magnoliopsida; Rosales; Rosaceae.
AGCUCCCUAAAUAUUGUUGGUGGUUGCUUUGUGGCUUCAUGCACUGGAGAAGACUGAGAGAAGGCAUAACUAAGUAUAAGUACAAGUUAACGGAUAACUUAAAAGGAAAUUCAUAAAGGAUUGAGGAAAAAAGUACUUAUUGAAGUGCUAUCAUCUUCCAUGAAGUGCAACAUCUCCUCAAUUAUUGGAUUAAACUGGGAAGUGGGAGUCAUCACCAUGGCUGGAGGAGGAGCAGCAGAAAAGUUAGGGACUGAAGAUUACCCAACCUGAUAAGCAAAUACCCUAACCUUAGCCUAGUAAAUGAGAAAAAUGGAUGUUAGUUUCGAAACUUCAAAAAUCAUAAGCUUAACCAGGAAUGAGAUAGAAGUAUGCCUUUGAGGGCUUGGCCCGACGAGGGAAAAAAUGUGCUGCUCGGGCUGGAGGAAAUGAAGGCUCGUGCUGGGAGAUCCUUUUGCCUCGGAUAUCCUAUUACAAGCAAAUAAGCAAAGAAUUAGCACAAGGGUCAAAGAAAGUGAACUUCAAAAAUAACUUCAUGCUUAAGAAAUAAAGGUCAUACCUUUAACUCCUCGAGGAUCGUGUCGAUGACCUCCUUGUCUUCCUGUCGUACUUCUGCGCCUGACUGCGAUCCUUGGGAAGUAGGGAUAGGUUUCUUAGUAGCAAGAGGCCAUAAUUACAAAAGAUGAGGAGUGUUAGUUCAAACUUGGGGAAAGUUGGAACUGAAAAAAGAAGACUAAGG